UAAAAGAUGAAAACAGUACUUUCUAUUAUUUUCGUAUUAUUUUUUGAGCAUGUUGUGGGUCUGAAAGAUCCUGUUUGCGGUCCAAAGAAACCAAUGUUAUAAACUCAAAGAUCCAUGUAAGAAGUUAGUCCGAAAAUUUGCAACGAAAGCGAUCUGCCAAGAGACAUGUGUGGAGUAGCUAAUGCGUUAUUAUGAUUUGAAAAGUACAAAUUUACUAUGUAUUAG
Molecule: long non-coding RNA, 225 nt
Organism: Drosophila gunungcola (fruit fly)
Lineage: Eukaryota; Metazoa; Arthropoda; Insecta; Diptera; Drosophilidae
Exons: 3
Source: RefSeq, a predicted model, not a curated record